GAGACGUGUGUCCUUGUGACACGAAGCAAUCGGAAGUGGUUCCAAGAAAAGCCUCUAAGCUUCAGUCAUACGAGACCGUACCGCAAACCGACACAGGUGGGCGAGAUGAGUAUUCUAAGGCGCUUGAGAGAACUCGGGAGAAGGAACUCGGCAAAUUGGUACCGUAACUUCGGGAUAAGGUACGCCCCGGUAGCUUGACCACUUUACUGUGGAAGGGUGAAAGGGUUGCAAUAAACUGGUGGCUGCGACUGUUUAAUAAAAACACAGCACUCUGCAAACACGAAAGUGGACGUAUAGGGUGUGACGCCUGCCCGGUGCUGGAAGAUUAAAUGAUGGGGUGCAAGCUCUUGAUUGAAGUCCCAGUAAACGGCGGCCGUAACUAUAACGGUCCUAAGGUAGCGAAAUUCCUUGUCGGGUAAGUUCCGACCUGCACGAAUGGCGUAACGAUGGCCACACUGUCUCCUCCCGAGACUCAGCGAAGUUGAAAUGUUUGUGAUGAUGCAAUCUACCCGCGGCUAGACGGAAAGACCCCAUGAACCUUUACUGUAGCUUUGCAUUGGACUUUGAACCAAUCUGUGUAGGAUAGGUGGGAGGCUUUGAAGCGGGGACGCCAGUUCUCGUGGAGCCAACCUUGAAAUACCACCCUGGUUCGUUUGAGGUUCUAACCUUGGCCCGUGAUCCGGGUCGGGGACAGUGCAUGGUAGGCAGUUUGACUGGGGCGGUCUCCUCCUAAAGUGUAACGGAGGAGUUCGAAGGUACGCUAGGUACGGUCGGACAUCGUGCUAAUAGUGCAAUGGCAUAAGCGUGCUUAACUGCGAGACCGACAAGUCGAGCAGGUACGAAAGUAGGACAUAGUGAUCCGGUGGUUCUGUAUGGAAGGGCCAUCGCUCAACGGAUAAAAGGUACUCUGGGGAUAACAGGCUGAUUCCUCCCAAGAGUUCAUAUCGACGGGGGAGUUUGGCACCUCGAUGUCGGCUCAUCACAUCCUGGGGCUGUAGCCGGUCCCAAGGGUAUGGCUGUUCGCCAUUUAAAGUGGUACGUGAGCUGGGUUUAAAACGUCGUGAGACAGUUUGGUCCCUAUCUGCCGUGGGCGUUGGAAAUUUGAAGGGGGCUGCUCCUAGUACGAGAGGACCGGAGUGGACGAACCUCUGGUGUACCGGUUGUCACGCCAGUGGCAUUGCCGGGUAGCUAAGUUCGGAAGAGAUAACCGCUGAAAGCAUCUAAGCGGGAAACUCGCCUUGAGAUGAGAUUUCCCGGAGCCUUGAGCUCCUUGAAGGGUCGUUCGAGACCAGGACGUUGAUAGGUCAGGUGUGGAAGUGCAGUAAUGCAUUAAGCUAACUGAUACUAAUUGCCCGUACGGCUUGUCCCUAUAACCUUGGCAG
RNAcentral lists this ribosomal RNA (1382 nucleotides) under Massilia cellulosiltytica. RNAcentral's name for it is "partial 23S ribosomal RNA". It matches the Rfam family "Bacterial large subunit ribosomal RNA", at positions 1566 to 2925 of the family's 2925-position model. The record is from RNAcentral. Lineage: Bacteria; Pseudomonadati; Pseudomonadota; Betaproteobacteria; Burkholderiales; Oxalobacteraceae.